CUUUGCUUCGAACUGCUGAACUAUUGUUAUAAUGAGAACGAAUACAAGUUAAUGAGAGGAUUAAAACGAACUUAACACUAUCCCCAGCAGAAAAUAUGGAAAAAAGCUCUAGACAUUUGUCUUAUUUGUCUAUUGGUUAAUCAACAUUGAUGCUUUUUCAAUCGAAGACUUACUAGAUUUAUUUCGCAUUUUAAUAAGCUGACUCCAUGAAAGACUCCAUCUCGAAACCUUUUCAAAGGCCUUUGUAAAAUGAGUCAAUCUAAAAAAAAGAAAAGUUGGUUUGGAGUGCAGAAAUUUCAAUGAAGCAUGGACGGUAAAAUACCUUUUUACAAACAUUGAUAAGAAAGCAAUUUGUUUAGUUUGCCAGGAAACAUUUGCUGUUUUCAAGGAAUACAAUUUUAAACAGGCAUUUUAAAUCAAAACAUCCAAAAUAUUCAUCACUUUCUUUAAAAGAACUUGAAAGUGCGGCAGAAAACAGGACAAAAAACUUGAAUAAGCAACAAAAUAUUUGUACCAAACAAAGUAAUAUCGAGAAAUCUACCACAAAAGCAAGUUAUGCUGUUGCACACAAAAUUGCUAAGUUCUGUAAACCUUUUACUGAAGCAGUUUGUUAAACAAUGUAUGAUACAAUUGUCGGAGAUAUGUUGUCCUGAAAAAAAAAACAUAUUUUUGAAAAUGUAAGCCUUUCGAGAAGAACAAUAGUACGACGGAUCGAAAAUAUUGCAGAAAUUUUACUUGAUCAGCUAAGAACAAAAUUGCUGAUUUUACAUAUUGUUCUCUGGCUUUAGAUGAGUCCUGCGAUAUUACUGACACAAGUCAAUUAUUAAUAUUUAUCCGAGGUAUAAACAAGAAAUGUGAAGCGAGGAACUUCUUAAUGUGCAUCCAAUGAAAGAUACAACUACCGGUGAAGACUUCUUUAUCGCUUUUGAAGAGUGUUUAGUUAAAGUAAAUUUAACUUGGAACAAAAUAGUAAGCAUCACUACGGAUGGCUGCCUUAGUUUAACAAUGACAAACUGAUUUGACAAAAGUUGUGAAUUUUAUCCGGGGACUUGCCUUAAAUCAUCGACAGUUUGUUGAAUUUUUGAAAGAAAUUGAAAGUGAUUUACGAAAUUCCUUGUUACACUGAAGUGCGAUGGCUUAGCAUCGGUAAAGUUUUGGACAGGUUUCAAUAUUUACUUGAUGAAAUAGUAUCCUUCUUGUCUAUAAAAAAAAUCUGCAUGAUUUUCCUGAAUUGCAAAAUGAGGCAUGGCUAAACGAUUUCUCGUUUGCAGUAGAUAUUGUAAAAUAUUUGAAUGAAUUAAAUAUAAAUCUACAAGGGAAAAACCAAUUCGCUUUAUGCACUCAAACGUCAAAGCAUUUAUGAUAAAACUCAAUUUAUUUGCUAAAAACUUAAUAAGAAAUUACUAAAUCAUUUCCCUUCAUUACAAUCACGACGAGAAUCAUUGAAAAAUACCGAUUUUCUUAAAUAUUGUGCAAUAACACAAGACCUGCAUUCUGAAUUCCAAAGAAGAUUUGAAGAUUUUAAAGCUAUUGAAAAACCUUUAUCAUUAAUUAGUCAACCUUUCAAUUUUGACGUGCAAGAAGCUUCUGUUGAAAUUCAACUAGAACUAAUUGACUUACAGUUAAAUAAUUUACUAAAAGAACACAAUAAUUUACAAAAGAAUACAGAACAUUUCAAACAUUUUUUUAACUAUGUUCAAAAAUACCUAGUUUUAUUUGGUUCAUAUAUUUGUGAAAGAACUUUUUCGUUAAUGAUUUACACGAAAAAUAAAUAUCGAUCACAAAUUACUGACGAAAAUCUACACUCGGUAUUAAGGAUUGCUAUAAGUGAUUUGGAUCCAAAUUUUGAAGAAAUAAUAUCAAAUGAACAUUCCAGAUUUAACUAGAACUAUUCUAUUUUAACGUUUGAUGUUUGUCUUUUCUUUUUAUAAUUCUAUUUACUAUUAUAUUUACAAAAUGUAAUAUAAAUAUAAAAAUGUAAUAAUUAUGAUCAAAAUAAAAUAAUUUGUAUCGUUAAGAUAUAAAUAAAUAAAUA
Molecule: long non-coding RNA, 2035 nt
Filed under: Stegodyphus dumicola
Lineage: Eukaryota; Metazoa; Arthropoda; Arachnida; Araneae; Eresidae
Description: uncharacterized LOC118193101
Source: RNAcentral